CCCCCCCCCUCUUUUUUCCUUCUUUUUCUCUCCCUCUGUUUUCCAAAUCCUCUGUCUUUGUUUCUUUCCUUUUUCAAAUUCUUACUUUUGGGUAGGUCUUUCAAUCUUGUCUGUAACGAAUAGCGUUUAGUUACAGUAGCAUUUUAUAUAGCAUAUUUACUAUUCUUUAUGAAUAACUGUACCACCGUUAAUUAACUCUACUUCGUUCUGCGUCGUUAAUUAGUUGAAAGGGUAAUAUUGCCGAGAUAAUAAUUUAAAAUUAUUUUAUUUGAUUUAAUAUUUAUAUUUAUAUAUUUAUUAUAUUUAAUAUUAUCUAAUUA
This 320-nucleotide long non-coding RNA is filed under the name Arachis ipaensis. RNAcentral describes it as "long non-coding RNA (AIPA_LNC000139)". The record is from RNAcentral. Lineage: Eukaryota; Viridiplantae; Streptophyta; Magnoliopsida; Fabales; Fabaceae.